UCCAUACAGUAUAGGAUGGACCCGCGUCUGAUUAGCUAGUUGGUGAGGUAAAGGCUCACCAAGGCAAUGAUCAGUAGCCGACCUGAGAGGGUGAUCGGCCACAUUGGGACUGAGACACGGCCCAAACUCCUACGGGAGGCAGCAGUGGGGAAUAUUGCACAAUGGGGGAAACCCUGAUGCAGCGACGCCGCGUGAAGGAAGAAGGUUUUCGGAUCGUAAACUUCUAUCAGCAGGGAAGAUAAUGACGGUACCUGACUAAGAAGCCCCGGCUAACUACGUGCCAGCAGCCGCGGUAAUACGUAGGGGGCAAGCGUUAUCCGGAAUUACUGGGUGUAAAGGGUGCGUAGGCGGCAAUGCAAGUCAGAUGUGAAAGCCCGUUGCUCAACAACGGGACUGCAUUUGGAACUGUGUAGCUAGAGUGCAGGAGAGGUAAGUGGAAUUCCUAGUGUAGCGGUGAAAUGCGUAGAUAUUAGGAAGAACACCAGUGGCGAA
Molecule: ribosomal RNA, 492 nt
Filed under: bacterium enrichment culture
Lineage: Bacteria
Description: bacterial SSU rRNA
Rfam family: Bacterial small subunit ribosomal RNA
Source: RNAcentral